RNAcentral lists this ribosomal RNA (497 nucleotides) under uncultured bacterium. Its description in RNAcentral is "partial 16S ribosomal RNA". It matches the Rfam family "Bacterial small subunit ribosomal RNA", at positions 28 to 507 of the family's 1533-position model. The record is from RNAcentral.
GAUGAACGCUGGCGGCGUGCCUAAUACAUGCAAGUCGAGCGAACGGACGAGAAGCUUGCUUCUCUGAUGUUAGCGGCGGACGGGUGAGUAACACGUGGAUAACCUACCUAUAAGACUGGGAUAACUUCGGGAAACCGGAGCUAAUACCGGAUAAUAUUUUGAACCGCAUGGUUCAAAAGUGAAAGACGGUCUUGCUGUCACUUAUAGAUGGAUCCGCGCUGCAUUAGCUAGUUGGUAAGGUAACGGCUUACCAAGGCAACGAUGCAUAGCCGACCUGAGAGGGUGAUCGGCCACACUGGAACUGAGACACGGUCCAGACUCCUACGGGAGGCAGCAGUAGGGAAUCUUCCGCAAUGGGCGAAAGCCUGACGGAGCAACGCCGCGUGAGUGAUGAAGGUCUUCGGAUCGUAAAACUCUGUUAUUAGGGAAGAACAUAGGUGUAAGUAACUGUGCACAUCUUGACGGUACCUAAUCAGAAAGCCACGGCUAACUACGUG